Heterocephalus glaber (naked mole-rat) is the source of this 955-nucleotide non-coding RNA. The record is from RefSeq and is a predicted model, not a curated record. NCBI's taxonomy places the organism in Eukaryota, Metazoa, Chordata, Mammalia, Rodentia, Bathyergidae.
CCUCAUUUUUCCUGCAAAGAGCCAGGAACACAAGAUGUUCGAAUUAUGAGCCCAUAUUGCACUUCCGAUUUAAUAUUCAGCCAGAAAAGAUUACAUUGAGACUGAAAGAUUAAGAAAAAAAAAUCUAAGACUUCCUCCAGAAAAUCGGCUUUUGAGCACCUGAGCUGGGGAAGUUGAAAUGCCCCAGGAGAAGAGGCAGAGGGAACCGUCUCAAGACAGUCAACAAAGGGAAUGGCUCUGUCCAGAGAGUAUCACCGUCUAUUCCUCCACACAUCAGAGCUGUGUGAAAAUCUCCCAUGGAAGAAGAUAGAAUAUGAAUUCAACCCAUCAUUUGAAAGACAAGCAUAUCGAAUGAAAAGCCAUGAAUUGGACUCAGGGCUGUGCUGAGCUGCAUCCUCGGCCCUUCCACAUUUGUUUGAAAACCUGGGGUACCAGUACUUGGAGCUUCUGCUAGCCCCUGGGGCACAGGAAGAUAGGCAGGGCUCCUCAGGAAGGAGGACUUUUCAUCUCUGAGCUACAGGAGCUGGGGAGAGCCUUCUGGGCUUUAGGCUCAUGGACAGCAAUGCUUGGCUAAAUUAUUCUAGUUGAAGCCAACUUUGAGUGACUCUUCUGUCCCAUUUGCCACCUUUAGGAGCCACAAAUGGCUUUUCUCAAAAAGAUUAAGAUGAGAUCCAUUUCAAAAAGAGGAAAGAAGAAGAGAUAAGAGAGCCAAACAGCACACUGGAGAAUAAUUUUUUUAGAUUAAAGUAGCUGAUUCAUCACUAAAUGUACCAGCAGGUGAUGUUGCAUAGUUUAUUUUAGGAGGUAUUCAUAAAUCCAAAGAUUUGUUAUCGGUGAUUAAAAUGUUAUUUUGGGAUUUGUGAGUUUGGGACCUGCCUUAUAUUAUCUCCCGCAUUCUGACAGUGUCAUACUCAAAGAUCAUUUCCAUUCAGUUCAUUGUACAGUAUCUGUCCCC